Long non-coding RNA from Rhincodon typus (whale shark), 176 nucleotides. RefSeq lists it as uncharacterized. The transcript has 3 exons. The record is from RefSeq and is a predicted model, not a curated record. NCBI's taxonomy places the organism in Eukaryota, Metazoa, Chordata, Chondrichthyes, Orectolobiformes, Rhincodontidae.
AUGACAGGCUGCGGGUAACGGCCGCCAUCUUUAUAGGAGCAUGUUAGAAGAGGAUUUGCAGAUCGGAAACUCAAACCAAAUGAUUCACCAAUAUCUAAAGCAUUCAACAAUCUGAUAACUGGAUAGAAACUGAGAGAUCGAGCAGCCCAUCCAAAAGCUUCCAAAAUCACUCUGCU